UACCUAACUGGGUUAGGGCCCUGGCUCCAUCUCCUUUAGGAAAACCUUCUGUGGGGAGUGGGGCUUUGACCCUAACCCAGCUGGGUU
Molecule: non-coding RNA, 87 nt
Organism: Myotis lucifugus (little brown bat)
Lineage: Eukaryota; Metazoa; Chordata; Mammalia; Chiroptera; Vespertilionidae
Source: Rfam